CAGCAGCCACGGUAAUACGAAGGGGGCCAGCGUUGUUCGGAUUUACUGGGCGUAAAGCGCACGUAGGCGGAUCGAUCAGUCAGGGGUGAAAUCCCAGAGCUCAACUCUGGAACUGCCUUUGAUACUGUCGAUCUGGAGUAUGGAAGAGGUGAGUGGAAUUCCGAGUGUAGAGGUGAAAUUCGUAGAUAUUCGGAGGAACACCAGUGGCGAAGGCGGCUCACUGGUCCAUUACUGACGCUGAGGUGCGAAAGCGUGGGGAUCAAACAGGAUUAGAUACCCGUGUAGUCCCUGUCUCUUAUAA
RNAcentral lists this ribosomal RNA (301 nucleotides) under uncultured bacterium. RNAcentral's name for it is "partial 16S ribosomal RNA". It matches the Rfam family "Bacterial small subunit ribosomal RNA", at positions 509 to 809 of the family's 1533-position model. The record is from RNAcentral.